RNAcentral lists this unclassified non-coding RNA (1654 nucleotides) under uncultured fungus. RNAcentral describes it as "sequence contains 18S rRNA gene, ITS1, 5.8S rRNA gene, ITS2, 28S rRNA gene". The stretch from base 722 to 1654 matches the Rfam family "Eukaryotic large subunit ribosomal RNA", at positions 1 to 961 of the family's 3401-position model. Lineage: Eukaryota; Fungi. The record is from RNAcentral.
GGAAGGAUCAUUAGGUAUUUUUUUGGGGGGGUCUUGCGAGUUGUUGCGAGCGAUAGCGAGCAUCAGCGAGCAAGUUUGGGGUUGGCCGUUUGGGCUGGCUCUGGCAAUGGACCCCCGCCUUGAAACUGUCCGAGCAAUAUAAAAAGUAUUUGGGAGGCGAUGUAGAUUGUCUCCCAGCAAUAAAGACUUUAGAUGGUACUAGACACACACAAUAUAUACAACUUUUAAUAACGGAUCUCUUGGCUCUUGCAUCGAUGAAGAACGUGGCAAAAUGCGAAAAUUAAUGUGAAUUGCAGAAUUCGUGAAUCAUCAAGUCUUUGAACGCAACUUGCGCUAGAUUAUAUCAGUCUAGCAUGGAUGGGUGAGAAUUUGAAGCGAGUCUGGCGUGGGGAUUUGAAUUUGAUUGGGGUUAUUUAAAUUUAUUCAAAUAAUCUCAUCUCAUUCAAAACCGCCAGGACGGUGCGUCAACUACUGGGUUGAUGUUUAAUUUGACUUGAAUUAACAUUGCGCAAGCAUUGGAUUUAGAGUAAUCGCAAUUCUUUGUGUGUCGAUGGUUGAUUCUGGGGUUGGUUAGGGGUUGGUUGGGCCAAGGCUGAACUGGGCCAAGGCUGAACUGGGCCAAGGCUGAACUGGGCCAAGGCUGAACUGGGCCAAGGCUGAACUGGGCCAAGGCUGAACUGGCCAAGGCUGAACUAGACCAAACCACACCCAAAACAACAACAAAUCUCACCUCAUCUAGGAUUACCCGCUGAACUUAAGCAUAUCAUUAAGCGGAGGAAAAGAAACUAACUAGGAUUCCCCCAGUAACGGCGAGUGAAGCGGGAAGAGCUCAAGCCUUGAAUCCCCAGAAUGUGGGGAGUUGUAGUCUUUUGGCCGAUGGUUUCACCAAGCGCGGCGGCAAAAGUGCGUUUGAAUACGCCACCGGAGAGGGUGCAAGUCCCGUCCCAGGCCAGCGCGCGUGCGGAGCAGCAAACCAUGGGCGGCGAGUCAGGUUGUUUGGGAAUGCAGCCUAAAUGCGGGUGGUAAACUCCAUCCAAAGCUAAAUACUGGCAAGAGACCGAUAGCGAACAAGUACCGUGAGGGAAAGAUGAAAAGCACUUUGAAAAGAGGGUGAAAAGUACGUGAAAUUAUUAAAAGGGAAACGCUUGGACAGGCGGAAUUGAGCAUUGGUUUUUGGCGGGUGAGGCGCGGGGGGUGGGGGGGACCAGUUUUCUGAGCUGGUCCGCCAGCCGUCCAGCAGCAACGGCCAGCCAGGGACCAAGGACAGCCGGGGGCGGAGGGUGUGUGGCAGACAGCAAUGUGUGCGGCGCGCUGGCCCUGCGACGGAUGCUCGUGGCCGGUUUAAUCGACCCGUCUUGAAACACGGACCAAGGAGUCUAGCAUGCUUGCGAGUGUCAGAGCAGUGAUAAACUCUAGCGCGCAAGGAAAGUGGAUUGGAUGCGAACGGCUUUGGCUGGGCAGCAUCGGCCGGUCCUGCCGGAUCGAGUCAGAGCAGGCAUGCUGGGACCCGAAAGAUGGUGAACUAUGCCUGAAUAGGGUGAAGCCAGAGGAAACUCUGGUGGAGGCCCGCAGCGGUUCUGACGUGCAAAUCGAUCGUCGAAUUUGGGUAUAGGGGCGAAAGACUAAUCGAACCAUCUAAGUAGCUGGUUCCCGC